CAUGUCUCUCACGACCCUCCCCACUGCCCUUGAGGACCAGCCCUCUGUGACGAUUGUCCCUGCUCUUCCCUUCAGGCACACUUCCUUAAUCUGAUCCACCAUCUUCACUGCCAAUGCGGCCAGGCUGAGAGCGCCCCCUCCAGGAGGACUCGAGGAACAGCAGCCAGUACAAAUUCCUCAAGGCAGGAGCAGCCUUCAUCCAGAUGUUCACUAAAUGUGCACAAGGGUCACACCUCAGGACACAAUGGGACCACAGGGACAGAGGACUGCCUGGGGGGUUCCGGCAAAAUUAAUAAAGUUCAUCUGGAAGGCAGGGGCACAGAAGAGAAGAGAGCAAGGUCAUGCCUGCCUCUGGGAAAAGUAGUAUCUGCAUCCACACGAUGCGUUCAGACACCCCAAAGCCUCCAGCCAUGCUCAGCUUAACCCGGGACCUCAGCUCGACUUUGUCACACCCUACAAAACAUCACCAUGUAGUCUCAUCAGUAAUUCCAGCCCUGAUUCAGCCAGACAACCUGAACCUUAGUCACUGGUAUGCUGUCCACGAAAACACACACUAGUUGCACACGCCACAUCGCAUUUCAGUUGCUCAACAGCCAUGCGUGGCUAGUGACUACCUUGUUGAAAAAUACAGACAUAGGAUGUCUCUAUCUUUACAGGUUUGUCAUCUAACACUGACCCAUAGAGUGUAUACACGUAUACACACGUGCAUGCUUGCUUGGGAAGGCUAUAACCACACAGUGGACAGCGAAGGUCUGAGGGAAGACCCAGAGGAUGGAGAGCAGCGUUGCUCCAGAGCAGGGGUCAGAAACCAUCAAGUGAUACUGAGAACAGUGAGAUUAAGAGAUGGCCAGAAGCUGCCCCGGUGGUGUUUGUGACAACUGGCACUCGCAGAGUGCACACUGUGUGCGUGCCAGGCAGCGUACUAAACUCUUUUCAGCCAUCUUCCCCUCAAAAGCACCCCAGAGACAAUGUAAUAAAUACACAAAUGGAUGCUCGCAAAAGCAUUUUGGUUUCCUUGAGGCCACAUGAGGGAAUAGAACUGAGGUACAAGUCCAUGCGGUCAGACAGCUUCAGAACUCACACAUAGCGUCCUGUCCCCCGUGGAGCGGAGAUGCUUGGCUUUUAGAGCUGCCACCUUUGCAUUUGUACAGAGCAAGCAUGAAGGCUAGGGAGAGAGCUACUGCCUCCUACCAAGCUG
Rattus norvegicus (Norway rat) is the source of this 1198-nucleotide non-coding RNA. The record is from RefSeq and is a predicted model, not a curated record. Lineage: Eukaryota; Metazoa; Chordata; Mammalia; Rodentia; Muridae.